UACGAAGGGGGCUAGCGUUGUUCGGAUUUACUGGGCGUAAAGCGCACGUAGGCGGAUCGUUAAGUUAGGGGUGAAAUCCCGAGGCUCAACCUCGGAACUGCCUUUAAUACUGGCGAUCUAGAGUCCGGAAGAGGUGAGUGGAACUCCUAGUGUAGAGGUGGAAUUCGUAGAUAUUAGGAAGAACACCAGUGGCGAAGGCGGCUCACUGGUCCGGUACUGACGCUGAGGUGCGAAAGCGUGGGGAGCAAACAGG
This 253-nucleotide ribosomal RNA is filed under the name uncultured bacterium. RNAcentral describes it as "partial 16S ribosomal RNA". It matches the Rfam family "Bacterial small subunit ribosomal RNA", at positions 524 to 776 of the family's 1533-position model. The record is from RNAcentral.